UUGAUCCUGGCUCAGGACGAACGCUGGCGGCGUGCCUAAUACAUGCAAGUCGAACGAACUCUGGUAUUGAUUGGUGCUUGCAUCAUGAUUUACAUUUGAGUGAGUGGCGAACUGGUGAGUAACACGUGGGAAACCUGCCCAGAAGCGGGGGAUAACACCUGGAAACAGAUGCUAAUACCGCAUAACAACUUGGACCGCAUGGUCCGAGUUUGAAAGAUGGCUUCGGCUAUCACUUUUGGAUGGUCCCGCGGCGUAUUAGCUAGAUGGUGGGGUAACGGCUCACCAUGGCAAUGAUACGUAGCCGACCUGAGAGGGUAAUCGGCCACAUUGGGACUGAGACACGGCCCAAACUCCUACGGGAGGCAGCAGUAGGGAAUCUUCCACAAUGGACGAAAGUCUGAUGGAGCAACGCCGCGUGAGUGAAGAAGGGUUUGGGGCUCGUAAAACUCUGUUGUUAAAGAAGA
This 464-nucleotide ribosomal RNA is filed under the name Lactiplantibacillus plantarum subsp. plantarum. Its description in RNAcentral is "bacterial SSU rRNA". It matches the Rfam family "Bacterial small subunit ribosomal RNA", at positions 13 to 448 of the family's 1533-position model. The record is from RNAcentral. Lineage: Bacteria; Bacillati; Bacillota; Bacilli; Lactobacillales; Lactobacillaceae.